GGAGAAGGCACUGAAAGAGAUCAGUUUAACUCCAUGAUCCCACCCUCUGAGAACCUCUUCUAGUCUGAAGAACCUCCCUCUGUAGAGGGAUUCUCACCUUGUCAUGCCUGCAGGAAUCCAAGUCAUGUCCCUGAGGGUAAAUUCUCCCUAUAAAAUCUAAUUGUGGGCCAUUUCAUGGCCGCUGCCUUUCUUGGGGUCAGUCUGUCAUGGCAAUCUGCUCAUGGUGUCUUUUCCCUUAUCCUUUCCCAUGUCACAUGGUAUCUUUCUUAAUCCUGCUAUGCUUCUCACAGCUUCUCCUUACAGCUAAUUCUUUUAGGAUGCUAAGUCCCUGUCAGAAUUUAGCCUGGCAACUAAAGGUAUGCCUUAACUUCAUGGGGUGCUCCUUUCCACUGGGUAAUUCUUGCAUAUGCUCUCCAACUCUUUCAUAUUUACCAUUCCCAGUGUCUCUUGUAUCCCUUCAUUUAGUCUGAAACCCCUUCCCCUAAAUAAAUCUACCUCUUGGCAAAGAGAAUAGCCAUUGUGAAUUCUUCACAUGACCACACCCCACUUUUGGUACCUAGCAUCACCUGGUGUCUACAUCACCUAUAUUAUUUUGGUGCUCGAACCACAUCACAGAUAACAAAAUCUAGCUUGCAGAACACACAUGACACAGACAUUCUGCACAGACACAAGGCACAGAAAAAAGUGACAUGAAAGAGGAUUGUCUCAUCUUUGCCAAAACCCAUAAAAUUUCUAUUCCUACAGCACCUUGCCUCCUGUAGCAUGCCAAGGAGGGUGAAAAGGUGAUAAAGGUUCCCUCGUUAGGAGGGAACUAUGCCAAAAAUUGCAAGAAUUCCCAAUGUUGAGGCUCAGAAGGGACCCCAAAAGGUUUGGGGUUUGCAGACCAGUGUUGGGAGGUUUCUCGAAAGGAUUUUCACCCAUACUGAAGUCAAGGGGCAGUGUUUAUUGUAAUUGUAAUGCCAAUUGAAGCAGGUUAAAUUGGAAAAGAAUUUAGCAAGAAGACAAAUGUAUCCAAAUAUUUCCCUUUUUAGCAUCUCUCCUUCUCUCCCACCCCUGCCUUACUCACAGAGAAGGCAAGCAAUCUAUCCCUUACACAUGUGAGACUGUGUAAAACAUAUUUCUACAUUAGUCAUACACCAUAAACAAGGGAGAAAAUUAUGCCAAAAAUAAAUAAUACACUAAAAAAUAGAAGAAGAAACUGAGGCCAGUGAUCUGCAGUGACAUGGAAGGUUAUUGAGCAGCAGGUGUUAGCCCUUGGCUCUCCCAGAGGACCAAGACAUCAGGGAGGUGCUGCCUUGACUCGAAGUGAACUGGAUUUCAGGGAGGGAAAGGCAGGAAAGGUCACCUGCACCCAGUGACGCUGAGUGACACAGUAAGGAGGUAGGACCCUUACUGGCUAUGGGGCCCCCAGCAAGGCGCUUGCUGCCCUGUGCCUCCACUUCCAAAGCUGUAUAUGAGGGCACAGGAAUAGCCUUUGAAGUCCUUUUCAAAAAGCAAAACCAAAAGCAUUUAGGGCAGAAUCUGUCACUGAAAUGGCCAUUAAUCCCCUCUUCCCUCCCCCCUCCCAAAAAGCCCUACAAAGGUCUGCAUGUCAAACGACGGGCUUAAUUAUGUAGCAUCUGAGCACCCAGUUCCAUUUCAGGGAAGGCAUCCUUAGGCCCUAAAGGAAACUGCUUUUAUCCUGCCAGGAAGGAACAGCAAAGAGGAAGAAAGGGGGCUUUUUUUUUAAUUGUUCGGUCAUUUUCAGCCGCGUCUGACCCUUUGAGACCUGAUUUGUGCUUUUGGUUGGGGACGAUGGAGAACUGGGCCGUCAUUUCUUUAUGCGGCUAUUUUACAGGGAGUCCCCUGCGGCGCCGCCGAGCCACGCACCUGGCGGAGACAAAGGUAGGUGGGCCCCUUUAAAACGUGCGGGUGCGUGGGGGGAGGGAGGGAGGAGGAGAGGGGGGAAGAAAGCCCAGUUUUUCUGAGAGUCAACCUACAGCACUGUCUCCUCCCCUCCCCUCCCCCCACCUCCCUGUCAAGUGAGGGGAAGGGGCCUCCCAGCCACAGCAUAUGGGGGCGGGGGCGCAAGGCCCUCCUCUCCUGCACUCCCAGUCCCAAGAGCAAGCCCCACUUGUCAGCUGGUAUGGACGCCGGCCCCGCCCCCGCGGUCCACUUCCUGUUUCCUGUAGCCUGUCCAGGGACAGACGUAAUGGUGGUCGCGGGGAAGUGUCCCUGCCGACUUCCGCUUCCGGUCACAAGAGGCUUCCGCUUUCCCACAUCCUGUUUCCGACUGGCGGCGCUUCCUCUUCCUGCCUGUUGCCAAGGCCUCUUGACAUGUCCUUGCUCCCUUAAGCUCUGGGCCUGGUGCGGACCCUGUUGGCUGCAAAGGUGCGAUGACGGGACUCCGGGGAGCCAGGCCGCAGACAACCGGGGCAGGAAACCUCGCCUGCCAAAGGUGCCUUUGAAAGGGAAAGUGCCCGGCAGCACCGCGGGGAAGGUUCGUGUCCGGGAAUCUGCAGCCCUGAGAGGACAGGUGGCAUUGGACUGCCAGGAAGAGCCCCAGGAAACGGCUGGAGAGCAAAUGGCACCGGGCCAAGGGCUGCGUGAGUCGGGGUCUGUAGGGCAAGAGCAGUGUCGGGGGAGAAGCCGACUUGGAAGGCCAUAGACGCCCAUCUGCCUUCAGCCACUUGUGGGGGGGUGGGGGUGGGGGUCCAAGUCAAGAGUAGUUCUCUUCAAGACGGUGCUUAGCAGCUGCCCAUCCUGCCCAAAUGAGUGAAUUGGCUCCUGUUAAGGAAAUGAACGUGGCACAAGGUGUUUUUAGGGUCGAAAUGCUGCCGAGUUUCUGAUGCUCAGAUGUGUCAGGGACUAGGGAAGGCUUGGGGGGAGGGGAAAGGGAAAGUUCUAAGGGAGAAAGUAUAAUGGAAGUUGAGCAUCUGUGAGGGUAUAUGCUGAGCAUAGGCCUGCUGCAGGUAGCUCCCCAGCAAACUGAUUAUAAAUGUUCAGCGUCAGCAUUUAUGCUCUGGAAAUUAGGAAGUAACACAAAUCAGCUUUGAUUUGUUGUAGGUGAAAAGAGCAAUACAGAUUAAACUGGGAAGUAUGUCCUCUGCACAUUUUUUCCCCUAGAGUACUGGUUGUUCAACCUUUACCAGAACCUCACUGACUAGAUGAAGUGAUCAUUCUUUCCAUACCUCUGUGUUACCAGGUGAUUUUCUUCACUUAUUCUCUUCCCAUCCUUAAUCAAGGACUAAGUUUUGGUAUUUUCCAAUUAAUUACUAAAAUUACAGUAUCUUCCUCAUGAAUUCCUCCCCAUGCUUCUUAAAUAUUCUUAUUUACUAUAUAGAGAAAGAUCUUGUUCCUUAAAGGAUUGCUCAAACCUACGCAUUUACUAGGUUUAACGAAACAUCAGGGGUUCCUGAAUUAUUUGCAAUAAAUCCACUGAGAGAAAGAUCACAACCAAAAUCAUCUGUACCAUCAUUAUAAUUUAGACAUCUGAAUUCUGGCCAUAUAAUCCCAUCAUUCAUUUCUCUUGGGACAUGCAUUAAAGUGUCUUCUCAAGAAUUCUGUGUUUCUUUGCAAGAUAAAGGUUGAACCCAGUUCUCUUUGCCCUUAAAGAUAGGGUAACACUAGCUUGAAAUCUCUGUUUGGGGCUUGAGCCCCAGACAGGCCUUGUGUUGCAGGAUUAGUGAGAAGGAAAUGAACAGAGUCAUAAAGGCCUGGCUUGGCCAGUACCCAUUUACUUUGGAGUUUUACUUGUCUCUCCCAGUUACAACACUGCCUGGCACAAAGUUGGGGAAGCGGUUCCAGGGGUGAGGGGAUUAGUGGAUUGAUUGGGUUGCCUCUAACACUUAUUAGCUUGUGGCUGCAAGCAAGUUGCUUAACUUCAUUUUGCUUCAGUUUUCUCCACUGUAAACUGGGGAUAAGAACAGAAUAGCACCUACAUCCUAGGAUUGUUAUCAGGAUCAAAUGAGACAUUUUAAAAAUAUUUAGCACAGUGCCUGGCACAUGGUAGGUGCUUUAUGCAUAGACAUAUACCAGUGUUUAAUAAAUGUUACUAUCUGUGGCAGGGGCUGUUGAAGAUGAUGCUGCAAAAGAAAUUGAAAAAGAUCCUUACUUUAUCAACUUAAGUUGAUGAGCUUUGUUAUGGAUAUUUACACUUUUUUUCACUAGUUUUUCCCUCCUAACAGGUAAGUAAGUAGUAGAUGUUUCAUGGUUUGUUUGAAAAGGUAAGUCUCCAGCUCCCACUGGUAGCCAUGGCAUUGCCCGAGCCUGUGGUGAGGCAGUUAGCAGCAGUGCAGCUUAUGAACAAUUAUCCUUGAUUUCUCCACACACAGGAACCUUCCCUGCAACUUAGAAGGAAUUAGUCUGCUGUUUCAUGAAGACUGACCAUCAUUGCUAGUGGAGUAGGUGUGGGCUUAGCAGCUGCCUUCUGAGUGGUUAUGAUUGAGAGAGCAGACAGUGAGUAGCAUUGAAUGUGUGAACAGAGCAGUUGGGUGGCUGUGUGAGUCCAAGUAUGUGUAUGCUUUGUGGAGUCGUACACAGGAGAGUGUGAGUUGUGCUGUUUGCAUGUUGGAGACUUCAGGUAGGAUCUUGGAAGGGUUCUGUAAUGUGUAUAGGGCUUAACUUCCAGUAAAGACUUCAAAAGAAAACCCUAAGCUUCCAAACUUUAAAGUUUGAAGUCUUGGGGCUUCAGCCCUAGGCAGGGGUUAUGUACUAGGUCAGGAGUGUGCAAUGUCAUGUACUCCAAGACUAGGCUUGGCCAAGCCCUAUUUCAUUUAUAUGUGUAUGUGUCUGCCUUGGUUACAGUGUAAGGUCUUUGGGAGCAUGAUCUGGUUCCUUUUCUUGUGUUUAUAACCUAUCAAUUAGCACAGUGUCUAGCACAUGGUCCGUGCUUAAUAAAUGUUUGUUGAUUAUGAUCACCCAUGGUCCAUAAUUGUAAUAGCUGGAACCUCACAGUUGGAAGAGACCUGGAAACUAGCGACUGGUGCAGAAAUGAGAAUCCCCAGUACCAUAUCCCUGUCUAGGGGUCAGUAGAGCAGGGCAGGCAUUCUUAUCCUCAUUUGACAGAUGAUGGACCUAGGGCCCAGCAAUAGAAAGUAACUAGCUUAAUGUCACCCAGCUAGAUGGUAGCAAAACUGCGAUAAUAAGCCAGGUGUCCAGGUGGAAUACUCUGUGCAUAAGCACUGAUGUUGCUGGAGGAGAGCAGAUGAUCCAGAAGCCCAUUGCAGUGUUGCAGGCAAGAGGAGAUGGGCAAGGUGACCCUGCAGCCCACAGAUGAUGCCCAUGUGAGUGGAGAGAAAGGGAAGUGUGUGAGAGAUGUUAGGGAGGCAGGGGCAGCUACUUGGAUAACUGGAAAGAUGUCAGCAGCAGCUGGGAUGACCAUGAUAUCAGGGAGCUGAUGACAUUUGUGAGGAAAGAUAUCAGUAAGAUAGGUGAUGGAUCUUCCACAACCCCCCAUCAGUGCCCCUCUAACAAGGAGGGGGGCAAGAUUCUUAAUUGUCACCACAGGGAAAAGGUCAUACUGGGAGGGAAAGGAAAGCUCUUCCCUAUAGUAACUGUCUACCUGCUGCUGUUGGUCACCUGAAGUGGUUUGGUUGUCACUGACCUGAAGCCUUGCUUCUCUGGGGCUGGUUAAAAGGUUACACAGGGGAGGGAGGGUUGUUGCCUUUAAUGGGACAUUUGGGGGUUUUUUGAUAGCUAUUGGGGCAGUGUGCAGGUUGAUCAUACUGCCCUUGAGAUCAAGACAGAGAUCUAUUCUGGGAUAGAGAGAGAAACAGACAAAUUGUGAAAUGGUUGUGGUUAAAACUGGCGCUAGUGAUAGGUGGUCUUGGUACCCCGCUGAUCAACAUACUUUCAGGGGCCUGCUCCUCUUCAGAGCUUAGGCCGGAAUCACCAAACAGAACCAAAAUCUUCUGUAUUGACUUUCAUUUUGGGAUUCAAACCAUCUGUUUCCUUAUCUAAAGUCUAGAAGUAAAAUGGCACAUUUUUCAUAGCUUUCUUCCCAGUUCCCCUGAGACACUAGAAGGGGUCAUUAAAACAGGUACCAAAAGAAAGAUCUCUCCCUCUCCCCUCUCUUUAGAAAUACCUGAUGCGAGUGGUAUUGGGAAGAGAUUUCCAGAGAACCCCAUUGAAGAGAAUGGAGAGGGACUAGAGAAAGCCUCCCCAAGCAGUGAAAGCCUCCCCAGGCAGUGAAAGCCUCCUGGUUUGUGGUGGGGGCAGCUGCAAGUGCUGUGGGUCGAGCAGCUCCUAGAACUUGCAGGUCGUACACUUAGGGCAAAGUUCUGGGAAAGAGCUAACAAAGCUCCCAUCAGCCUUUUCUCUUUUUUCAAAACAAAUCAGAGCAUUAACUUUUGUGUUUUUUAAAAACAGCCUUAUACCUCACUAGCCCUUCUUCUGGACCCCUUGUUCCUCUCUGUACUUUAUUCCAUCCAGAGGAAUGGAAAAGGUCUGAAAUACAUUUGGAGGUUUGAGUGGACUGGAAUGUCCCCAUGAAGCAGCAGCAACCCUGUGACAAACACCCUGUUGUGAUUGUGUUCUGCAUUGAGGUUUGUGGUUUCCAGGAAUAGGAAGGUGAGAGUAGCCAGGGCUCUUCCCUGCUCAGGUGUCAUCUGGAGUAUUGAAUUACAAAUAUCUGGAAUGGAUCCAGGAUAGAAUCUGGCCUGGACAUCCUGUUAAAACAGUCAGGGAUGUUUUGCCUGAAAGGGGGGAGACUUAUUAGGGGGCAACCACAUGGCGUUAGACACUGAACAACUAUGUGUCCUUAAAUAAGUCACAUGGAGCCUAGAGUUGCCUAAAGGGAAGUCACAGAUCCCUUACCCUCAUCCCGGCUCUCCUGUAUGUAGUCUCUUUCAGCAAGACAGUGUUAGUUCCUUGAGAGGACAGUCUUGCUUGCUAGUAUUUCACUACUAUCUGGCACAUAGUAAGCAACAAAUGUGUUCUUUCCCCUUCCCCUGUGAUGUUUAUUCUUCCUUUAUCCCCAAGUCCAAAAGGUUAGCGAGGCUUAUCUUUAUUCUCCACAACACUACUUGGAGCCAUCCCCUUUUCUGCACUUACACAUCUGGGUUAUCACAAUAGCCUCCUGAUUAAGCUUCCUAACUCAAGUCUUUGUCUUCCUCAUGUGUCCUCUACUUAGAUGGCAAAAGGACAUUCCCAAAGCACUGGUCAAUAAACCCUCUCAUUAAACAACAUUUUAAAUUAGGAUUAAAUACAAACUAUUUUCUUGUCAUUUCAAGCCCCUCAUACUGUAGCUAGGACCUCCCUUGCUAGCUGACUUAUAUGUAAGUCCCUUCACCUUCUGUCUGGUCCAGACAAGUGCAGAUUCUUAAUGCUCUUCCCCCAUGAUGCAUUUUGACACUAUUUGCUUGCCUUUGAAAAGUGUGAACACCCCAUGCCCAGAAGGUAUUCCAUCCUCACUUCUGUGCCUUACAAUCACAGCAUUACUCCAUAUCUCAGCCUAAAUCCCAAAUCCCACAUGAAGCAGGUCCAGGUAUUCCUGUGGUAUUAGUGUGACAUCACUCAGUUCUACCCUCUCUCUUGUUCUAAUUACUUGGUAUGUUCUUCAUAAUUUUUACCUGGUGUGGUCAGAAGUGGCAAAUUCUCCACCCAUUUGAGGUAAGCACCCAGUUUAUUCUUGCUGUAGAGUCCAUACCUAGAGCAUGGGGAGGAGCACACAUGUCCCUAAUGGAUCGGCCCUGAACAUGUGUUUCUCGCCAGUGAACUUUUGCUGACUUCUUGUGACCAAAGUGGAUGCUGCAUUUUGCUGGUAUUCCAGUUAAAAGGGGAAGAAUCCAGGCUUAUUUUAACAUAGACUUCGAGAUAACUAUGUAGUCUUCCUCCAACAUCUCAUGACCAGCUUUUAUGACCUAUGAUCCCAUUCCCACUCAAACCACAUUCUACUUUGGUUGCAUUUUGGAUAAUCAGAAAGUUGGUUUCAGGGAAUGUAGUAGUCAUGGACUCCAUUUUAAUCUACAAAUGAGAAAUCAUUUUAAUUGCCUGGUUUGGCAAUUUUAGCUCUACAAUGUUCAUUGCAUCCUUCAGUGUUCUCCCAGUUAUUUGGAGGCUCAAGCAAAUUGGCCUUUUACCUCCACUUCCUUCACCGUGCUUCAUUUCUCUUCCUUUGUAAACCUGUGAGUUCCCUCCAUCUGUGCCCUGAAUGCAUUUUAUUCUCAGCUGUGCCUGUCAGGAGCCCUAAUUGUCCUACAAAGAUCAGCUCAAAUGCCACCUGACUCCUAAGUAAGAUGCUGGUUCUCUGAACCCCUUCCAGUGACCCUCUUGCCAAAGCAUCCAACUGAAGUAUGGCCAUCGAAUCCACAAUUAGAAGAAAACGUGGCUCUGUUACCUUAUGAUCGAUUAGCUAGUAGAGAUAUUCUUAUCUUGGGGGAGACAGUGACUUGUGCUCCCUUGGGUCCUUUACCUCCCUAAGGAAAAUGGGAAUGUUCGGGGUUCCAUCUCUUACUUUUCUCAGGUAACAGCUGUGACAGCAGCUCAGUACUGGGGUGCUGCUGUUCCACUUCAUGCCUGUGGCCCACAUUGGAGAAGACCUGGAACUCAGGAGUACCUGACUCACCAUGGCCAUUGUUGGCAGUGGCUGUUGCGUCUUUGUAGAUCUGAUCAUAUGACAAGGGUGCAGUACCCAGCUGCUGCUCAGUCUUCGCAGUGUCAUUUUUCCUGCCUUUUCAGGAAAUUCACAGUGCCCAUCUGUAAGUCUGCACAAUUUUUACACCCCUGAGAAGGAGGAACUCGGUAGGCUGUUCUCCUUUGUGUCCUGCACAGUACUGGAGACCAAAUUAGCCUAGUGGUCUUCUACUUGGCCCCCUUCAAACCUAACAGCUGGUCUUGCCUCUGAGGGAUUUUUGGCAGUUUCCUCCCCUUCCCCCUGUCUGUUGGACAGUCCCAUCACUUCAUCUGGCUCUGGGGCCUUCCAUUGUUCCGGGAAAGCUCUUGCCCAUCCAGCCCAAGUCCCCCCAGUUUGUUCUAGGGGAUAUGGUUACUCUCCAGAGAAAAUGCCAAUUUUGGCCCCAUGGACUCUUUAUCCCAGAGAGGGUAAGGCCACUGCCUUCCUUACUCAUAGAUGAAGUUGUAUUCUUGUGCUCAAUUGUAACAGUCUCUCUGUAGGAAUGCCUCUCGAUUAGAAGAGCUCCCACUUCUUUAAGCUGCUCUUCCUCCUCAGAGGGUGGACAAGUCCAAAAUUCCCAGGAAUAAUUUCUUACUCUCAGUUCCUCAGCCAUGUCUCCAUGGAGAGAAAGGCAGCGUUGGAAACAGUCCCUGAUUUAUCUCAUAUGCCUUAAUUUUUUUUUUUAACUCUUCUUCCUUUACUUUUUCUGCCUAAUAUCCUCAAAUGUCCUCCUCCUUAAUGUCUGUUCCUGGUAUUCGAAGACUUCUGCUUUUCAGCCACAAAAACAACAUGAUACCUCUUGAUUUCCUUGGCUCUCAUCUAUUCUAAGGAUUACUCCAUAUGUGUCUACAUGAUCACACAGAUAUUAAUACAAUGAAUAAACGUCCAGUGUUGUGUCACCAGUGGUCUAUUGGAAUGUUGAAUGAGCUUAGAUAGAGUCAUAAUCUCAUAUAUGACUUGUAUGAGGAAACAAACCUAUUUAAACAGACUCAGUUUAACUAAGUAAGGUCCUAGCUUAAACUAAGUUUAGAGCAUUCUUGUUGGGCUGAUUGAAAAGGGAUACAUAACCAAUAAUUGACAUUAAAUGAAACCUCCCACAAGUGAAAUUACUUGAAAGCCUCUGAGCAGUAUUUGAGAUAUGAAGUAAAUUUCCACUUUGGAUGGGAGAGGUUUGAAUCAGUUAGGUAAUAUCCUAAAUAGGAGCCACAGUCCCGCCCUCCUGGCAGUUGAUAAAAAUUAAUAAAAGGAUAUCAAAUAUAAGACAUUCUCACAAUCUUCCAUUUUGAUCAUAGGUCUUCAGUGGCCCUUUUUGAUCACACAUUUAAAAAUUGGUAUGUCCACAUUAAAAUUUGGGCAACACCUCUGCAGGAGUAAUCCAAUAAUGAUCAACAUACAUUCUCUUUAACCCCGCUUGUUCCUGAUAAACUCACUCCAAAUGCCCAUUUAUUCAGCUUAUUUCACCUUGAGUCUUACCUGUCCCAUGUAGAUGUCUGAUCCUGGGAAACAUUUUCCAUUGGAGAUUCUGGAAUAGGUGUCAAUCCCAGGGCAGUUCUGGAGAGAAUUUGCUUCUAAUACAACUGUUUCCUUUGUUCCACUUGGAGAGGUUGCCUAGGUAAGGCAGAUAAAAUGUGAAAGUGAUAAGACAAUACAAUGUAGACCCACCUCUCAAAUAUGGUCUUCCAGUACCUAGUUUAUGUUGAAAAGCCAGUUUGACUCUUAUUGGACCUAACCUUAUUACCAACAGGGAAAUAUAUGAAAAACAUCCAGUUGAGAAGCCGUAAUUCAUCUGAAAAUAAGGAGAAUUUCAGUUUUUACAGAUAGGUAGUUAUCCUUAGACUGAAGGAAGAAUUUUUAAAAGUAUCCAUGAGAGCCUGAUAUAAAAUAAGCCAUACAGUCUCUUAGUAUGAUCAGAUAAAUGCUUCAGAGCAAGAAAAGAAAAAAAAAACAUUAUUUUAAAUUUUGUUACAAUUAUUGACACAAUUUUAUUUGUAAGGUCUUUAAUUGAGUUUUGAGGACUUAUUACUAGGGAAAAAAUUUAAAAACAGAAAUAUUUCAUCUUUGUAAAUGGAAUUGAACCUAGAGUGUUUAGUUUUUUGUGCUGUUUUUACGAUCUUGUUCUUAGUUAUUUUUAGGCUCAAAAUGGAAAAAAAAAUUCAGGAAUAUAAUGUUUAUUUGACGGUUUGUCUUUGUUCUUUUUUUUUUUAAUAGCCUUUUAUUUACAGGAUAUAUGCAUGGGUAACUUUACAGCAUUAACAAUUGCCAAACCUCUUGUUCCAAUUUUUCACCUCUUACCCCCCCCACCCCCUCCCCUAGAUGGCAGGAUGACCAGUAGAUGUUAAAUAUAUUAAAAUAUAAAUUAGAUACACAAUAAGUAUACAUGACCAAAACAUUAUUUUGCUGUACAAAAAGAAUCAGACUCUGAAAUAUUGUACAAUUAGCUUGUGAAGGAAAUCAAAAAUGCAGGUGGGCAUAAAUAUAGGGAUUGGGAAUUCAAUGUAAUGGUUUUUAGUCAUCUCCCAGAGUUCUUUCUCUGGGCGUAGCUGGUUCAGUUCAUUACUGCUCCAUUGGAAAUGAUUUGGUUUGAUCUCGUUGCUGAGGAUGGCCAGGUCCAUCAGAACUGGUCAUCAUAUAGUAUUGUUGUUGAAGUAUAUAAUGAUCUCCUGGUCCUGCUCAUUUCACUCAGCAUCAGUUUGUGUAAGUCUCUCCAGGCCUUUCCGAAAUCAUCCUGUUGGUCAUUUCUUACAGAACAGUAAUAUUCCAUAAUAUUCAUAUACCACAAUUUAUUCAGCCAUUCUCCAACUGAUGGACAUCCAGUCUUUGUUCUUAAUAGAAACAUUUUGAAACUAAUUAUGUUCAUGUGUAUACAUAUAUAUACCACGUAUAUGUACCUUCUGAUUCUUAGAGAAAAGUCCAAUUUCAUUGCUUAUUUCAAAGUAAAGUUUACUAUUCCAGUAAACCUUUAUAUCUUUUUCAUACCUACAUUUUUGUUCUAUCCAUUUUUUGAAAAUAUAUAUGUAUGUCUGUAUGUACAGACACACAUAUGUAUUUCAUAACAUCAUCUAGAAAAGAGGUAGUACGAUGGAGACAACGGUAAUCCACAUAAAUGCAUAAUUUUUGCAAGGGGAUAGAAUUCAAGCCUUAGAAUUUCUCUACUUGUUUAAUUUAGUUAGUUGAAACAAAUAGUGACCAUAAAUGGAAAUAGACUUUGGAAUAGAAAAAUGAAAAACAUUAAGCUCUUUCAUACAAGUAUAGCAUUAUAUAUGACCAUUAUAACAAGUAAAAUAUGUUUUGAGUAUUAUAACAACAGGAUUUAUCCUAUUUAAACAAACAAAAAACACAUUUCACUUGCCCACAUUUUCAAAAUUUGCUUCUAAAGAAAGGAGGACAUGGUUUCAAAACAAAGCUGUAAGUCUCCUUACUUCUCUUUAAACUAUUUUUUACUCUUGAAUUUCGCAACUUGCUUUUAGGAAGACUAAUAAAAUUUGAUGAUCUUACCCAAAUAGAAGAACCUGGUAAGUCCCCAACAAAUAACACAGUUAAAAGAUCAAAGGCAGGUAAUAUUUUCUUUCCAAAAUACUUAUUACUGUUACUUAUUUUAAAACAAAGUAUAUCUACUUAAGUACUUGAUAGUUUUUAAACAUAUUGACCUUCUAUAUUAGAUUAACUUGUACUUUAAUGGUAUCCAGAUUAAAAGAGGAGUUAGUUUUCUAAGGAUACAAUUAUAUUGCUCUCUAGUUGUCAUUCUUUUGAAUUCACUGUAUUUUCUUAUACAUUCAUUUCCCAAAAUCACAAAUAAGACAAGUUGGAAACCUAACAGUGUAUGCAAGAGAAUGAAUUAUAGAACAUAAAACAAAACUUACUGUUAGAUAAAAUAAUGUCAAUUCAGUUGAAUGCAUAAAUCAUCUUACAUGACAAAUCCCUUCAUCAGUUUGGCAUUCUAUACUAAUUUUGUUCAGUUACCCUAUUUGAAGUAUUUGGAAGAAAAUAGAAUUUUAAUUCUUACUGAUGCAGGUUAUAAGCACAUCACCUUAAUGCCAAAGAAUAAGUGUUUUUUACAUGAAGAUCUGAUCUACCACUAGACCAAACAUCACAAUUAUCUUAAACAGAAGAACACAUCUCACUUUAAAUGAGAACAUGUUUUAAUUUAGUUUUUGGACACAACAGUCAAAUCAGGAUUCACAGUUUCAAAUGGUGUCAUUUAAAACCUCAAUUUUCCCAAGACCUGCAGCUUGUUCCUCGUAUUAUAGAGCUCACUACUUUCAGUUACUUUUACUUCCAGAGAUUUAUGGUGGCACCCUCACAUUUUCAACUUUUCUUUGGGGGCUUGUGACAUGGAAACGGCAAACAUCAUACUAGGAAUGAGUGUCCCACAAAUAAAAGUUGGAACAUAGCUCUGUAAUGGUCUUUCAAGGAUAGAAUUUUAAUAUGCUGUACUCAAAUAUUUCCAUCAUCCAAAUUUAUGUCUCUAGUUUCCAUUUAGUUAGUGUUGUAUGUAACUUGAUAGAAUCUUGUCUAUCUUAAAUUGUUAGGAGAUAUUUCUCCCACUGGUACCCACAGAUUUAACAGGUAUAGGAAAUUUCUCAUAGCCUUCUCAUCUCAGUGAGAUCAAAAAUCUCCAGAAAUCUAACCCUUACUUCACAUUAACCUUCAAAUGGAGGUUAUCAGUCUAUAUGGACUUCCAUUCUCCUGUUAUCUCUAUUUGCUUAAACCUUGUUUUUCAGUUAUUUGAUUUGUGAGAUUCUUUGUGAUCUCAUGGACCAUGCUGUCCAUGGUUUUCUUGACAUGCUUUCCCAUUUCCUUCUCCCGUGUGUUAAGGUGAACACUGGCUAAGUGGUCACUUAUCAGGAUCACACAGCUUAUAAGUGCCUGGAGCUGGGUUUGAAAUCAGAUCUUUCUGACUCUAGGCACAGAGUUAUAUUCACCAAGUCAUCUAACUGCCUUUUGAUUAAAGGCCUACAGACUUCAAAACCACUCUUCUUUCCUUGUAAUUGAAACAUUCACUUACCUUUGCUUCUUACUUUUAAUUCCAUCUCAUCUUUAUUUUCCAAUCAUAUCCCAGUAUUGUACUCCACUGAAUCUCCUGUACAGAUUUCUUGGUUAGUUUACCAGACUGCAUUUACAUUUUGAGUUGCAAUUCAUUUCAGUUUCUUUUAGGUUACUGCCUUUAAUUUGCCCUAAACAAUUAAGUUCUGUUAAAAAUGAUUUAGAGAAAAAAAAUAUAUUGAUACAAUAAAAGACCCUCCUAAGAUUCGAAUUUCACCUAAUAAGGCAUAAAAUUGAAGGCUGCAAACCCGUUUUAUUUCCUUAUCUUGAAGGCUUUUUUAGCAUUUUCUGGGCCCCAGCUUCUUAAACUUUGGGUAAUGAUCCCCUAUGGGAUCACAUACCUGAAUGUAGGGGUCAUGAAAUUAUGAUUUAUGGUUGCUAAAUGUUCUGUGAAACGUUCUUGGGUGUAAAAGGGGUCAUGAGUAAAAAAAGUUUAAGAAGCUCUCUUCCAUGCAGUGAAAUCAGGUUCUAAAAUUGGGACUCUACCACCCUCUAAGAGAAGGAGUUGGUUUUAUUUUUCCAAAUACAUGUGAAGAUAGUUUUUCAACAUUUAUUUUUGUAAUACUUUGUGUUCCAAUUUUUCUCCCUCACCCCACGGCAAGCAAUGUGAUAUAGGUUAAAUAUGUGUAAUCCUUUUAAACAUCUUUCCAUAUUUGUCAUGCUGUGCAAGAAAAAUCAGAAAAAAGGAGAAACCCACAAGAAAGAAAAGCAAAGAAAUAAAAAAAGUGAAAAUAUAAGUAAUUUGAUUCACAUUCAGUUUUCAUAGUUCUUUCUCUGAAUGCAGAUGUCAUUUUCCAUCCCAAUUGGAUUAUCUUGAAUCACCUAAUUGCUGAGAGGAGCCAAAUUCAUCACAGUUGAUCAUUAUAUAAUCUUGCUGAUACUGUGUACAGUGUUACCCUGGUUCUCACUUCCUUCAAAAUCCGUUCGAGCAAGUCUUUCUAGGCUUUUCUGAAAUCUGCCUGCUCCUCAUUUCUUAUAGAACAAAAAUAUUCCAAUGCCAUAAUUUAUUCAGCCAUUCCUGAACGAAUGGGCAUCCAGAGUUAUUUUAACUAUUAAAUGUUGUAACCUUAGUUGUAGGGGAUUCAAGAUAGUUUCUCUCCUUCCUACCCUUCCCACUCCCACAUUACAUUUAUCUAUUUGACAAUUUACAAAAAUAUCUCUUCUUUGAGAUAUUUGGAAAUUUGUAGCAAAGGUAUUUUAGUUACGAAUUUAGUCUUUAGUGUAUAAUGCCAUAAACUCUUACUUCUUUCUUGUCUUCAUCUCUGCAAUCUCAACAUGGCCAGGCCUGAGAAUAUCCUGGGGAAAUUUAUCUUAAAGUUUUUCCUGCUUAUUCUGAAUCUUAGCUCUCACUUAAAGUGAUCAAAGAGUCAGUGGAAAUAAGUCCACCCUUAAUUGAGAAGGAGUGUUUAACAUCAGAAUUUUAGUUUGAUACAGAUAGCAGAGAGAGCUAUUUUAGCUGUGAAAUUUCAUUAACUUAAGCAAUAGUGUUGAAUCAUCCUAACUUCCUGUUCAUCCUAGAAUAAAGGGGUUUCAUGUUUGAAGUCCCUCAAAGCACUUGAAAGGAUGCUAAUAGAUGUGAGGGAAGGUGACAUUUCCAAUGUCCUUUCUGCUUGCAAUGCAGAUUUAGGUCACUAGAAUAGGAGUAUUUAUAUGGUGAUUCAGGAAGGCCUAGGCUUUUCCUCAGCCUCUCCUGGGAUUCUGAAAAUUGGGGUGAUUACAGUCAUUACUUUAUCUGCCCAAGCCAGAUGUUAUAGCUGAGGAAGAUACUACCUUGAGCUGCGCUAUUUGUUGAGAUUCUUGCUCAACUCAUUUUUUUUUUUUUUUGUUUUAUUCUGUUAUGAGACCUAGGUCAUGAGCAACACAAUUUUAAGUAUUUUAAUUCCUCCCUCCCCACUCAUACGCCCCAACCCCAGUCUGUUAAAUAACAAUCUGGGAUAUUAUCUGCACCUUUAUUGAUAAACAACAAGGGUAUUAAUUUGAUCACUGCAGGAUCUGUUGGAUCCUCAAUCCCUUCACACUGUCUCCCAGUGUUUUUAGUCUAUCCUGUCAUUUUUAUAGGGUGUGCAUUUGCAUCUUGACUAAAGUCCCUUCACUUGAUUCCAAUUAUCUCUAACUGCUUUUCUGGGAAGAAUUGAGGGACUGUUUUGGGAGUCAGUGCUGAGACCCUAGCACCUUGCUUGUCAUAAAUAGGUGGGACUUUCUAUUAUCAAAGGCCAGGAAGACUUGUCUGUAGAGUAGGUUUCAAAGCCAAUUGUUGGGAAACCUAUUUUUUCAGUUUUAGGGCAGAAGUUUUUAUUAUUGUGCUCUACCCAAUUACACCAAUAAGCCAUUUGGAAGAGGUAUUGAUUUUCUAUAGACCAUCUUAACCUGGCCAAGAUGUUCAGAAUCAAAGGAUCUUUCAGAUCCCCUGAAGUUAAUCUUGUCCAAAGGUUCAGAAAGAUUUUUAAACUGGACCUUUAGAUAAUUUGGGGUUCCUUGAAGGGAAACUUUUCUAAAUUGGUUAGAAGAUGAUUCAUAGAGGACCAACUGAUUAGGUCUCAUAUUUAGAUUAUUAUUUUUUUAAUCGGAUGUUUCAACCAUAAUCUGAGUGACCACAAAGAAAACUGAUUUUGUGACCAAAUUUCUCUAUGAAAUCAAAAUCGCUGAAAUUUGUUCACUGAACUUCUCAAAAUAAAUUUUUAUCUUAGUCCAGAGUUUUAUUUUGAUGACGGUAACAGCACUGUAAAAUAGAUCAUUAAGACAGUCAACAAGAAAGAAUAAAACCCUCAGAUAAUUUCUGACCUAUCCUCAAUAUGAUACUGAGGAAUAUACCAAAGAUGUAUUUUUUUCAACCGGGACUACCCAUUGAUCAGUUUUAACCAGACCAACUUGGGGCUUCUAAUUUAACCACUGCAGUGUUUAAUCAGACCAAAGGCCCUGAGAAAUUUCCAACAUCUGACCUAUUCUCAGUAGUCAUUUAGACCAUUCCAAAUUAUCACUUUAUGUCACUCAGCGAACUUAUCUUUAUUUCCAAGCGAUCAAUCUCCAUCCAGUGGUCAAUUCUGACCAUUAAAUAAUCAGACUAGGUCUCAGAGACAAUGGCCACAACAUGCAGACAAGUCUCUUGGGUUAUAUACCGGCAAAAGUAAGGAGAUAAAUUGGACAAAUUUUGACAGAGAACAAAACCCAAACCCCAGAUAACUUAGAAAAAAAGUCAAUUUGUCCAGCAGAGGAGGAGAGUGGAGGGAAAAACUGUCCAAAUAUCUCUAAGUAGUACAUUAUAUAGGGUUCCAGCAAGGGAACAAUGAAACAGUCUUUCCUUGGCCAGCACAGAGUCAUUUUCAAAUAAUUCAUGUGAGUUGCUUGAGAUGUAUAAUGAAAGGAAACAUCUCACAUUCCUCAUAUCAAUCUUGGGUUUUGACUAGAUUUCAGGUCAGCAUAACAAGGUCCGAGUUAAACAUUUAAUCUGGUCUCUAAGCAAUAAGUAUGAUUUCUUGGCCAUACAGGACUGGGUUCAAACAGUGCAAAAAUUUUCUCACAAUACACAAAAGCCAAAGAAGACACUCUUCCCUUUCUGUGAUUUUGGAAAGCAGUCUGCUUUUCUGCUCUGAAAUUUCCAAGGUAAGGAUAACCUUAAUAGAAUUUCUGAAGUAAAAGCCCUGGUUUUUCCAAGGUUACUGCCUCUCUGUUUGUGGAUCACCAAAUUUGUAAUGGGAAAAAUCUCUCCUUUUUGAAUUGAUGUGGCAGGUAACUGUUGCUGAGAUAAGUGUACUCUGAAACAGAAAUUAUGGGAGUAAACUUUUGCUUUAGCACAGGUUCAGGAGGUAGAAAAAUGAUCCUGAACCCCAAAUAAAGAUUCAAAAAAUCUUGUAUAGAGAAAAUUUUAUCAAAAAUGAACAAAUAAAUUCACUUACAUAUUGCAAUUUUGUACAUUCGUUAAGACCAGUUUAAAAAGACAUAUUCACAAUUCCAUGCUUUUGUUAGUGUAAUAGAUGUUGAACAGGCUUAGCAAAUGAGAAACAUGAUCAUACAGGAAAAAAAGGCAAUAGAUAAACUAAGUGAGGUCACAGCUCAAGCAACAUUUAAGGGUUCACAAUGGGCUCAACAAGACGGGACAUUUUCUUUGAAAGCCAUGACACUUUUUGGCUUCUAAUCCUCCAAAGAAUAAAAUUAAUAAAAGGAAAUAAAAUUUUAAAAAUAUCAAAAAGCCAAGUCAGGAUAAGCUUGUUAUGCCUCAUAAAACUAAAAAAAAAAAUUUAACUGCAUUAAAAGAAGUCUAGGAUAUCAUCCAGAAGAAAAAAAUCUGCCUCUGGGGGAAAAAUAUUGCUUCUUAUGACCAGAAAAAAAAAAAAAGCUGAAAAGUAUUUUCCAGAAUGGGAAGACAAAAUUGCCUUUUCUGAAGCAAAUCUGAUCAUAGAAACUGUAAGUCUGGGAAAUUUCCUGAAUCACCCCCCAUUCAGUGACAAAUGGCUAGAUAAACAUUGAGACAAGAAAAGCUGGCCUUAGAAUUCACCAUCAGAAAAAAUUCAGUCUGGAAGAUAAACAUCCUCUCUCCACUUUUUUCCAGGAAAAUAAUGCUAACUAACAAACAUAAAUUUGAAAUCAUGCCAUUUGCAGAAAACAAUUCCUUUUAAACUUUUUCUAAGGCAUGAAGAAUAUGUAGACAAAUCUUUAAAAAAAAAAAAAAAGCAUUAUGGUAUCCAACCAGUGAAUAAGCAUUAACCUUCUAUGGGGUUUCAGGUACUCUGUAAAAGCAACGGGGUUCCAAAAAGAGGCAUGAGUCUUUGCUCUGAAGGCGCUGGUAACCUAAGGAGAGAGACAACCUGCAAAGAAUACAUAUUACAAAGCAAACUAUGUAGAAUAAUUAGGAAAAAAAUAGAAGAUAGGAACUAUUGCAGUUAAAAGGGGAUAGGGAAGACUUUCUCCAAAACGUGGUAUUUAAGAGAAGCAUGGGAAGUCAGGAGUGCAAGUGGAGGAGGGAGAGCAUUCCAGGCUCGGGGACAGCAGAGAAAAAGCCCAGAGCCAAAAGAUGGAACAUAUUAUUCCUGAAACAGCCAGAUGGCCAGUAUCACUUGAUGGAAGAGGAUGUGGUGAGGAGUCAGAUAUGAGAAGACUGGAAAGGUAAGGGCAGCUAGGUUAUGAAGUUUUGAAUUCCAAACAGCAUUUUGUAUUUGAUCCUGGAGGCAAUAGGAAGCCAGUGGAGUUUAUUGAAUAGCAGUAAAGGACCUAGUGACUCUCAGUAGGACAAAUUGGAGUAGAGACAGACUCGAGACUCUCAGGCUAUUGCAAUAAUGAAGGCAGGAGAUGGUGAGGGUCUGCACCAAGAAAAUGGCAGUGUCAGAGAAGAAAAAGUGUUGUUUUAGAGAGAUGUAGCCAGGCUGAAAGAAACAAGUUUUGACCACAUCUUGGAUGUGGAGGGUGAGUGGUAGUGAGGAAUUGAGAAUAACUCUUAUAUUGAAAGUCUGGGGAACUGGGAAGAUGGUAUUUCCUUCUCCAGGUACAGGGAAGGUAGAAGAAGGAGAGGGUUUAGGAGGAAAGAUGGAUAUCUGCUUUGGAUAUGUUGAAUUUAAGAUGUCUACUGAAUAUCUAGUUUGAGACAUCUGGAAGGUAGUUGGAAAUGUGAGAGUUGAGAUCAAUAGAGAGGUUGGGGCAGGAAAGAUAGUUUUGAGAGUCAUCACUAUAGAGAUGAUGACAUCUGCAAGUGAAAUAGUACAGAGGAAGAAGGGGACCCAGAACAGAUGUCUGAGGAACACCUAUAGUUAGAGGAUGUGGUCUGGAAACAGAUCCCACAAAGGAAGCUGAGAACUAGCAGCCAGAUAGGAGAACCAGAAGAGGAUUGGUGUCCUGAAAACCUACAAAAAAGAGAAUUGAGUAGAAAAGGCUUCAGCCUACUAACACCCAACAGUGUAGAAGUCUGCAGAGAGGUCAAGGAGGAUGAAGAUUGAGGGAAAAGCCAUUGGAUUUGACUGGGGCCUUUAUAUCAAAGUUCGAGGUGAGUUAGACUAAAAGAUAGAGGCUGGUAGCCUCCUUGAGAACAAGAAGUUCUGCUCUUGAGAAAAUGAAAUGGCUUUUUUGAGGAAAAAAGCUCGAAGGAGGCUGGAGAGCUUUCCAUCCCUCUAUAGCCAACUCCACUCCAGGGCAGAGCAUUAAUCUCCACAGAGAGGAUCCCAUACCAGUGAGCUUUGGGUCAGGAUUACAUAUAGUUUCCAGGUUUGGACAUUUCCAGCUCCACAAUAUUUCUUACAACCAUGAUUUCUCUGCACUUGAUCUACGGCUCAAGCAAAUUGGCCUUCUACCUGAUCUUCCUUAAUCAAGGGGCUUUGAAUAUUUCAUAUGGAAGAAGAGAACAUGGUCUUUUCCUGACAUGUUGUGACCAAAAUGGUUAUUAUACUGAAAUUUGAUUUCAAAAGGAAAGAAUUAAGAACUCAUUACAACACAAACUGAGAUUUUCCUUUGACAUCUCAUCCUCCACUCUCAUCCCAUUCAAACUAAACUAUGCUUUCAUUGCAUUUCAAAAUAUGUGAAGGUUCAUUUCUGGUAAAUGUGAUCAGCAUGGAUGCCAUUUAAACAUAUAAAUGAGAAGAGAGAGCUUCAAGUCUUUCAGACUUGGACAUUGCCAACUCCACAAUAUCUUUUGCAUACAUGAUUUCCACACACUUUACUAAAAGCUCAAGCAAAUUCUGCCUCAUCUUGCCUUUUACAAAUCUCUGGACUCCUCCACCUCGUGUCUUGAACGAAUUCCAUUCUCACUUUUGCUCCCUAGAACACCAAUGUUCCCAAGUCUAAAGCUCAAAGUUCAAAUACCACAUUCCCAAUGUGGAAAAUCCUAAUCCCCCCAUAGGUUUUUCCUGACAUCUUGUGGCCAAAAUGGAUAUUGCCCCAUGCUGUGAUUUCAGGUCAAAGGAAAAAAUCUAGAACUCAUUUUAAAAUACUCAGAUAUAUCAAUCACUUUUCCUGUGACAUCUCAUAUCCCUCCCCUCCCCCAUCUAUGUUUACACUCUCAGUCCAAACUGUAGUUUGAUUGUAUUUUAUUGUAUUUAGGGUAUCUGAAAACUUGUUAAUGGCAAACUCAGUAGGAUAUUAAAACAAUAAUUAGGAUCUAUUUUGUCCAAGUGUAUGCCAGUAAACCUGACAAUUUAAGUGAGAUGCAUGAAUACUUACAAAAAUACAAACUGCCCAGAUUAACAGAAGAGGAUAUGAAUUACUUAAAUAUAUUUUAGAAAAAGAAAUUGAACAAGCUAUUAAUGAACUUUAGAAAAAAAUCUUGAAGGCCAGAUGGAUUUACAAGUGAAUUGUAUCAAACAUUUAAACAACAAUUAAAUCCCAUAUCAUGCAAAGUAUUUGGAAAAAUAGAAGGAGUCCUACCAAAUUCUUGUUAUGACACAGAUAUGGUGCUGAUGCCUAAACCAGGUAGGUUCAAAAUGAAGGAACUUAUUGACCAGUUUCCCUAAAGAAUGUUGGUGUAAAAAUCUUAAAAUAUUAGCAAAGAGAUUAUAGCAACUUAUCACCAGGAUAAUGAUACAUUCUAUUAUGCAUAUAUACAUUAUAUAUAUAUAUAUGUAUAUAUAUAUAUAUAUAUAUAUCACAUGUAAUGUGAUCAAUUAGGAUUUAUAGCACUGAUGCAGGACUGAUUCAGUAUUAGGAAAACUAUUAGCAGAAGUGAGUAUAUCAAUAACUAAAUUAAAAGAAAUAUUAUAUCCAUAGAUACAGAUAAAGCAUUUCGCAAAAUACAAUACCCAUUCCUAUUAAAAAUACUGGAGAACAUGUGCAAAAAUAUUUGUAGCGGCAUGGAACUGGAAACUGGGUGAAUGUUCAUCAGUUGGAGAAUGGCUGAAUAAGUUACCAUAUAUGAACUUUAUGGAAUAUUAUUGUUUUAUAAGAAAUGACCAGCAGGAUGAUUUCAGAAAGUCCUGGGAGACUUAGAUGAACUGAUAUUAAGUGAAGUGAGUAGAACCAACAGAACAUUGUACACAGCAGCAAUAAGAUUAUGUGAUGAUCAACUGUGACAGACUUGACUCUUUUCAACAAUGAAGUGAUUCAGGUCAAUUCCAAUAGACUUGUGAUGGAGAACCAUCUACAUCCAAAGAGUAGACCAUAGGGACAGAGUGUAGAUCAUAACAUAGUAUUUGUACCUUUUUUGUUUGCUUUUUGUUUUUUCUCAUUUUUCCCCUUUUUGAAUUGAUUUUUCUUGUGCAUCAUGAUAAUUGUGGAAAUAUGUAUAGAAGAAUUACAUACAUGUUUAACUGUAGUGGGCCAGAACUCUGGAGAAAUGUACUUGAAAUAAGGAUUCUUACAACAAGGUGUUAACUCAGUGGAAUUGAUAAGAUAAUGAUUAGUUUAGCAUGUGAGUUCUCUAGUUCACUAUGAUUGAUUUAAUCCUACAACAAGUUGUUAACUCAGUGGAAUUGAUAAGACAAUGGUUAUCUAGAUUACAUAUACUUAAUACUUAGCAUGGUGAUGUAAUAGUUUUACAGUUGAUGUAAUUGUAAAGAAGUAAAUUUAAACUAAUCUGGCUCAGGGUGGCUCUCCUGCCUCCUGCACUCUGGGAGAGACUGGUUCAGAGUGGGAGGUUCACCCACUCGUAUCACACUGUCUCCUUGAUGAAGGACUGCUGUGGGAGUACAUUUCUCCAGAGUUCUGGCCCAUUACAUUUAACAUAUUGGAUUACUUGCUGUUUAGGGGAGAGGGUGGGCAGAAGGGAGGGAGAAAAAAAAUUGGAACACAAGAUUUUCCAAGGGUGAAUGUUGAAAAUUAUUUUUGCAUUUAUUUUGAAAAUAAAAAGUUAUUAUUAAAAAAAAAACACUAAAGAACAUAGGAAUAAAUGGAGUUUCCCUUAAAAUGAUAAGUAGUAUCUGUUUAAAAGCACCAGCAAAUAUCAUAUGUCAUGGGGAUGAACAAGCAUUCCUAAUAAGAUCAGUGGUGAGAAAAGGUUGCAGGCUAUCACCAUUACUAUUCAAUAUUUAUUAGAAAUGUUUAGCUUUACAAUAAGAGAAGAAAUUGAAAGAAUUAAGAGUAGGUAAACAGGAAGCAAAAUUAUCACUCUGCAGAUGAUAUGAUGGUAUACUUAGAAAAUUCUAGAAAAUAAACUAAAAAACUACCAGAAACAAUUAACAAUUUUAGCAUAGUUGCAGGAUACACAGUAAAUCCACACAAAUCAUUGCUAUUUCCAUAUGUUACCAACAAAGUUCAUCAGCAAGAGAUAUAGAAAUGCCAUUUAAAAUAACUUAAUAAUAUAAAAUAUUUGGACAGACGUCGACCUGUCAAGACAAAGCCAGAACAUAAUUAUAAAACACUUUUCACAGUAAUAAAGUCAGAUGUAAAAAAUUGGAAGAAUAUUAAGUGUUCAUGGAUAAGCUUAGCUAAUAAUAAAAUAAUAAUUAUUAACUAAUAAUAAAAAUAAUAAUAAAAAGUGAUAGUUCUACUUAAAUUAAUUUAUUCACUGCCAAACCAAUCAAAGUGCCAAGAAAUUAAUUUAUAGAGGUAGAAAAAAAUAAUAUAAUUUAUCUGGAAGGAAAAAAAUGUUAAGAAUUUCAAGGCAAUUAAUGAAAAAAAAAUAUGCAAACGAUGGUGAAUGAUACCUAAAAUCAGGUAGAGUCAAAACAGAGAAGAAAAAUUAGAGAACAAUUUCCCCAAUGAAAAUUAAUGCAAAAAUCUUAAAUAAAAUAUUAGCAAAGAGAUUUCAGGAAGCUAUCCCCAGGAUAAUACACCAUGACCAAGUGGGAUUUGUACUAGGAAUGCAGGGCUGGUUCAAUAUCAGGAAAACUAUUAGCAAGAUUGACUAUGUCAGUAACCCAACUAGAAGAAAUCAUAUGAUAAUCUCAGUAGCUGCUGGAAAAGCAUUUGACAAAAUAAAACACUCAUUCCUAUUAAAGACUCUAGUUUUUAAUGUUUUCUGCUUUCAAUUCAUGGGUGAAUUCAUCCCAGGCCCAUUAGCAGUUUAUUAUGGUUACUGUGUCUUUGUCUCCAUCCUGUUUCCCUCCAUUUAUGCUGUUCUUGUUCUGGCUCUUUUUACCCUGUUCUUCAGAAGUAUUUUGCUUCUGACUACUGCUUCCCCCAUUCUGCCCUCCCUUUUACAUUCUCUUUUUCUCCUCCCUUCAUACUUCUCUGCAUGGUAGGAUAUAUUUAUAUAUCCAACUGCAUGUGUAUGUAACUCUGUCUUUGAGCCAAUUACAAGGAAAAAGAUUCAAGGGUAACCUGCCACCCUUCUCCUCAUCAUUUCCCCCUCCACUAAUGAAAAGUCUUUAUCUCUUUUACAUUUGAUAAUUUAUCCCAUGCUAUUUUGCCAUUCCCUCUUUACCUACCAUAUUUCUCUUUCUCACCCUUUAAUUUUAUUUUGGGGAUAUCAACCCAUUAUGCUCAACUCACAUUGAUGUGUAUGUGUACUUCCUCUGAUAGCCCUUUAAUGAUGAAGUUCUUAGGAGUUAUAAGUAUCCUCUUCCCAUGGCGGAAUGUAAAUGGUUUGACUUUAUUGAAUCUUUUACCUUUUUAUCCUUUUUGUUUAUUGAAUCCUGUUUACCUUUUUAUACUUCUCUUGAGUCUUGUACUUGACAGUCAAUUUUUUUAUUCAGUUCUGGUCUUUUAAUCAGGAUUUUUUAAAGUUCUCUAUUUUAUCAAAAAUCCAUUUACCCCCUCAAGGAUUAGACUCGGUUUUUCUAGGGAAGUGAGUUUUUAUUUUAAUCCUAACUCUUUUACCCUCCAAAAUAUCAUUCCAAUCCCUCCACCCCUUUAACAUGAAAUUUGCUAAAUCUUAUGUAAUCCUGAAUGUGGCUCCAUGAUUUUUAAAUUGUUUCUUUCUGCUGCUUGUAAUAUUUUCUCCUUAAUUUAGCAGCUAAAUUGGCUACAAUAUUAUUCACAGUUUUCAUUUAAAGAUAUCUUUCAGGAGAUGAGCAGUGGAUCUAUUUUACCCUCUUGUUCUAGGAUAUUAGAACAGUUUUCCUUGAUAAAUACUUGAAAAAAUUUAUGUCUAGGCUCUUUUAUUAUUGUAGCUUUCAGGUAGUCCAAUAAUUUUAAAAUUACCUCUUCUAUAUCUAUUUCACUGGUCAGUUAUUUUUCCAGUGAAAUACUGCACAUCUAGUUUUUCAUUCUUUUUAUUUUGUUUUACUGAUUUUUAAUAUUUCAUGGAGCAAAUAGCUUCUAUUUGUCCAAUUCUUAUUUUUAAGGAUUUAUUUUCUAUUGUCAGGUGCUGUGCCUUCUUUUUCACAU
Long non-coding RNA from Sarcophilus harrisii (Tasmanian devil), 24817 nucleotides. The record is from Ensembl. Lineage: Eukaryota; Metazoa; Chordata; Mammalia; Dasyuromorphia; Dasyuridae.